RNAcentral lists this ribosomal RNA (254 nucleotides) under uncultured bacterium. RNAcentral's name for it is "partial 16S ribosomal RNA". It matches the Rfam family "Bacterial small subunit ribosomal RNA", at positions 524 to 776 of the family's 1533-position model. The record is from RNAcentral.
UACGUAGGGGGCAAGCGUUGUCCGGAAUCAUUGGGCGUAAAGAGCGUGUAGGCGGUCCGGUAAGUCGGCUGUGAAACCUCCAGGCUCAACCUGGAGACGCCAUCUGAUACUGCCGUGGCUUGAGUCCGGUAGAGGAGCAGGGAAUUCCUGGUGUAGCGGUGAAAUGCGCAGAUAUCAGGAGGAACACCAGCGGCGAAGGCGCUGCUCUGGGCCGGUACUGACGCUGAGGAGCGAAAGCGUGGGGAGCGAACAGG